UUCACGAGAACUUCGUGUUCAUCAGCGCACUUGGUCGUGAUUAUUUUAUGGCGUAAAUCACAUUUGUACAGGCAGACAGUCAUCUGUUAACACGGGCCGAAACGAAAAAGCCUCGCGACGCGAUCAGGCCGCUCACGGAGGAUGUGUCACGCAAAAUGGUGCUGCUUCAUGCUGUUAACGUAACCAAUGUGAUGUAUUUGUGGACAUUUGCUAACUUAAGGUAUUUAUCUGGAGAGAGGAACAAAGACGAAAGGAAAAGUGCCAUCUAAAACAACAGGCAGACAGUUCAGAAGAAACGGGUUGCGUUCAACCUACAUGUGGCCACUCUUCUGUGCAAAGUGAUGGAUUUUCAGUGGAAUUUCUGAAAUCCUCUCUUUGAAUCCUGGGAUGGAACAUCAUCUGGAGCAGAAUUGUUCUUUUUUGAUCGCAAGUUUGUUGGACUUGUUGUUUGGCCAUGUUGGUAUGUUCAUGAAGUGAUAAAAGUGAUGUGGGUUUUAAGAAAUGUUUUUAUAUGACCCUGUUGGUCAAGUUAUAGUUAUAAUUGUAUUUCUUUGUGUGAAGGGCCAUGAUGGCCAAUAAGUAAUUUAAAAACAU
Megalobrama amblycephala (Wuchang bream) is the source of this 594-nucleotide long non-coding RNA. RefSeq lists it as uncharacterized. The transcript is spliced from 3 exons. NCBI's taxonomy places the organism in Eukaryota, Metazoa, Chordata, Actinopteri, Cypriniformes, Xenocyprididae. The record is from RefSeq and is a predicted model, not a curated record.